AACGCGAAGAACCUUACCCGGGCUUGAACUACGGAUGGUAAGUCCCUAGAAACAGGGGCUGACCCGCAAGGGAGUCCGCAGAGGUGCUGCAUGGUUGUCGUCAGCUCGUGUCGUGAGAUGUUGGGUUAAGUCCCGCAACGAGCGCAACCCCUACUCGAUGUUGCUAAUCCCGCAAGGGAUGCACUCUUCGAGAACUGCCUUCGAUAAGAAGGAGGAAGGUGGGGACGACGUCAAAUCCUCAUGGCCCUUAUGUCCGGGGCUACACACGUGUUACAAUGGCCGGUACAAUGGGAAGCAAUACCGUAAGGUGGAGCCAAACCCACAAAGCCGGCCCCAGUUCAGAUUGUGGGCUGCAACUCGCCCACAUGAAGGCGGAAUCGCUAGUAAUCGCUGAUCAGCAGGCAGCGGUGAAUACGUUCCCGGGCCUUGUACACACCGCACGA
This 443-nucleotide ribosomal RNA is filed under the name uncultured bacterium. RNAcentral describes it as "bacterial SSU rRNA". It matches the Rfam family "Bacterial small subunit ribosomal RNA", at positions 958 to 1397 of the family's 1533-position model. The record is from RNAcentral.